UUACUGGGCUUAAAGAGUUCGUAGGUGGUUGAAAAAGUUGGUGGUGAAAUCCCAGAGCUUAACUCUGGUACUGCCAUCAAAACUUUUCAGCUAGAGUAUGAUAGAGGAAAGCAGAAUUUCUAGUGUAGAGGUGAAAUUCGUAGAUAUUAGAAAGAAUACCAAUUGCGAAGGCAGCUUUCUGGAUCAUUACUGACACUGAGGAACGAAAGCAUGGGUAGCGAAGAGGAUUAGAUACCCUCGUAGUCCAUGCCGUAAACGAUGUGUGUUAGACGUUGGAAAUUUAUUUUCAGUGUCGCAGCGAAAGCGAUAAACACACCGCCUGGGGAGUACGACCGCAAGGUUAAAACUCAAAUGAAUUGACGGGGACCCGCACAAGUAGUGGGGCAUGUGGUUUAAUUCGAAGAUACGCGCAGAACCUUACCAACACUUGACAUGUUCGUCGCGACUUUAAGAGAUUAAAGUUUUCGGUUCGGCCGGACGAAACACAGGUGCUGCAUGGCUGUCGUCAGCUCGUGUCGUGAGAUGUUGGGUUAAGUCCCGCAACGAGCGCAACCCUCACUUUUAGUUGCCAUCAUUAAGUUGGGCACUCUGAAAGAACUGCCAGUGAUAAGCUGGAGGAAGGUGGGGAUGACGUCAAGUCCUCAUGGCCCUUACGUGUUGGGCUACACACGUGCUACAAUGGUAUCUACAACAGGAAGCAAAGCCGCGAGGUUAAGCAAAUCCUUAAAAGAUACCUCAGUUCGGAUUGCACUCUGCAACUCGAGUGCAUGAAGCUGGAAUUACUAGUAAUCGUGGAUCAGCGUGCCACGGUGAAUGCGUUCCCGGGUCUUGUACACACCGCCCGUCACACCAUGGGAGUUGGUUCUACCUUAAGGCAAGGUUCAAUACCCUUGACCACGGUAUAGUCAGCGACUGGGGUGAAGUCGUA
Molecule: ribosomal RNA, 928 nt
Filed under: uncultured bacterium
Lineage: Bacteria
Description: bacterial SSU rRNA
Rfam family: Bacterial small subunit ribosomal RNA
Source: RNAcentral